UACGGAGGAUGCAAGCGUUAUCCGGAUUUAUUGGGUUUAAAGGGUGCGCAGGUUGUUUGAUAAGUCAGUGGUGAAAGUCUGUCGCUUAACGGUAGGAUUGCCAUUGAUACUGUUAGACUUGAAUAUGGAUGAGGUAGGCGGAAUGUGUAGUGUAGCGGUGAAAUGCUUAGAUAUUACACAGAACACCGAUUGCGAAGGCAGCUUACUAAUCCAUCAUUGACGCUGAGGCACGAAAGCGUGGGGAUCAAACAGGA
This 254-nucleotide ribosomal RNA is filed under the name uncultured prokaryote. RNAcentral's name for it is "partial 16S ribosomal RNA". It matches the Rfam family "Bacterial small subunit ribosomal RNA", at positions 524 to 777 of the family's 1533-position model. The record is from RNAcentral.